UGCUGUGUGCCUUGGACUCAAUGGAACGGA
RNAcentral lists this non-coding RNA (30 nucleotides) under Mus musculus (house mouse). Lineage: Eukaryota; Metazoa; Chordata; Mammalia; Rodentia; Muridae. The record is from RNAcentral.